This is a small nucleolar RNA of Chanos chanos (milkfish), 70 nucleotides long. RefSeq annotates it as small nucleolar RNA SNORD58. The record is from RefSeq and is a predicted model, not a curated record. NCBI's taxonomy places the organism in Eukaryota, Metazoa, Chordata, Actinopteri, Gonorynchiformes, Chanidae. The transcript has a single exon.
CUGCAAUGAUGACUUUCUUAGGACACCUUUGGAUGAAUGAUGAAAAGAACUGAAUGUUAACCUGAGCAGU